CGGUCAAUUUAUUACAGCUUCACCAAAACGGACAUGGCAAGGUUGCUGGUUUUAUUGGCUAUAAUAGCCGUAACAUCAAGUAUUACAGGCAAUGAAGUAUCGGAGAAGGUUCCCUUACUGUUUCCUCGCGCUUGCGGCAUCCAUGGAUGGAAAAAAUGUCGCGUUGCGAGAAGAAGGUCACAUUUACAGAAGAAAAGCAUCAACGCAAGGGACGUAUACAUCCGAGAGGAUAAACAUGACCUGUAGAAAUCUUCAAACCAAAGAGUUACUCACCCUUGAUCAGCGUUGAAAGAGUCGGUUAGCUUAACGUAGCAAACAGCGAUGUAAUUUCUAAGAAAAAUAAAAAUCACAUAUUCUAUUCA
Molecule: long non-coding RNA, 362 nt
Organism: Pocillopora damicornis (cauliflower coral)
Lineage: Eukaryota; Metazoa; Cnidaria; Anthozoa; Scleractinia; Pocilloporidae
Source: RefSeq, a predicted model, not a curated record